Transfer RNA from Loxodonta africana (African savanna elephant), 73 nucleotides. It matches the Rfam family "tRNA". From Rfam's summary of the family: Transfer RNA (tRNA) molecules are approximately 80 nucleotides in length. Their secondary structure includes four short double-helical elements and three loops (D, anti-codon, and T loops). NCBI's taxonomy places the organism in Eukaryota, Metazoa, Chordata, Mammalia, Proboscidea, Elephantidae. The record is from Rfam.
UCCUGGAUAGUUCAGUUGGUAGAGCAUUGGGCUUUUAAUCUGAAGGUCCAGGGUUCAAGUCCUUGUUCAGGCA